UUUUCGAGGACACAUGUUUUCCAUCCAAUGUGCGUCAGCAAAGAGGGUCAAGUGAGGCGCUCUGCACUCAUAACUAAAAACGCGACAAAUGGGUAUUUAAGAGUUCCCGACUCCGUAACCUUUUUUAUCAGUUUCUUCGAAUCUUUCAUGCAACGAAAAUCUGAUUUGGGUUAUUUAGAGCUGUUACCGGCCAAGCGCAUACAACUCAUAUUUAAAAAUAUUUUAAAUAGGUUUUCACACACAUACGUGCACCUCUUUCUCUUAAACCGGUGGAUAAAGGACGACAUAGAUGACUUCUCGGAACUUUCAUCCCAUUAGAAAGGCAAAAUUUUAUAAAAUAUUAUGAAAAUGAAUUGACAACCAAUUCCUUAAUUUGUAACAUAUCAGAACAUGGGAGUUACCAGAAAAAAGAGGAGUAAGAUGUUGGAUUUACCAAGGGUUAAUUCUAUAACUAUAUAUAAAAGACGAAUUUUUAAGACAAGCACCGUUGUUCACACUACUUUUCUAGUGUUCAAAGCAAUGGCAACAUCUGAAUAGCUUUUUAAUGGGAAAAGAUACAGUUCAAGCAAAGAAAUGGUUUGCCAAGUGUUCUUUGGCCACUACUUCAUGGUGGCGAAUGGUAAAGAAGUAGUUUGCUGAUUUUAAACGCGGGCAUACACAGUCAUGCAAUAAGGCGGUGAUUGCGGGAAUUCGGCAUUUGUUCCAGGAAACGUAAAAGAAAGUCCUAAAAAUGCUUUUGGCAAAACGGAAAACGAAUUUGCGUAAGAUAUCCGACAGCUUAAUGAUAUCAGACAGCAGCACAUUUACUAUUUUGCAUGAACUUGCGUACACGAGGAAGCGUUUGGUCGCUUUUGACCAGAAACAAUGUAUUGGAGCUAUUUAGGCGAUUUCUAAACGAUAUGUGACAGUAGAUCAAAUACGCAUUUACUUCUUUACUUCAAAUCAAUAGCCAACCUAGUGCUCUGCAACGGGGCAAAGACAUUCAAAGCUGCGAAAUACGCCAAAAACGAGUUUAGAAGGCUCAUGGCACAGAAGUCUUCGGAUGUGCAUAUGCGUAACAUUCGUGGAGUGUCUUGAAAAGGUGAAAAGGAGGAUUGAGGAUUGCGUAGCAUUAUCAGUGCGUUUGAAUGACGAAAUUUCAAAAAGAAAAAGGACCUAAUCCUACGACAUUAUUGACUGAUGCACUAUAGUGGUUGGUGUAUAGACAUAAUUAGAAAACAUCUCGCACCCAUCUCGCAGAGCGCGGAGAUCUAAAUGCGAAACAAACUUUGCCAAUGGAUGAAUAGUUAUGAUGUCUGCACAUUAAUUGAAACAUUGAACAUUUUUCUCAAUAAUUUUAAAACAUCCUAUGCUUGCAAACGAGACAUUUUUACGUUUUAUAUUAACAUUUCUUUUUUUUAGAAUCCAAGGAAACUCUCUUAAUAUCAUCCGAGUUAGCUACGCUUUGCAAAUAAGCAAUAACUUUAGUUCAAGCUUUGAAAUAUUUG
Molecule: long non-coding RNA, 1487 nt
Organism: Glossina fuscipes
Lineage: Eukaryota; Metazoa; Arthropoda; Insecta; Diptera; Glossinidae
Exons: 3
Source: RefSeq, a predicted model, not a curated record